Molecule: non-coding RNA, 90 nt
Organism: Jatropha curcas
Lineage: Eukaryota; Viridiplantae; Streptophyta; Magnoliopsida; Malpighiales; Euphorbiaceae
Source: Rfam
UUUGGGGAAUGAUGACAAGAUUCAAACAGAUGAGCAGACGCGCCAGCGCUCUCUGCUGAAUAAUCUAUCGCACGUCAGUCUGAUCCCGAA